GACGAACGCUGGCGGCGUGCUUAACACAUGCAAGUCGAACGGACGGGCCCUGCUCUUGCGGGUUGCUCGAGUGGCGAACGGGUGAGUAACACGUGUGUAACCUGUCCUUGUCUUUGGGAUAAAUUCAGGAAACUGGGGCUAAUACCGGAUAGGAUCUCCUGCUGCACGGUGGGGGAUGGAAAGUUUCGGCGGUUGGGGCUGGACUCGCGGGUUAUCCGCUUGUUGGUGGGGUAGUGGCUUACCAAGGCUGUGACGGGUAGCCGGCCUGAGAGGGUGACCGGCCACAUUGGGACUGAGAUACGGCCCAGACUCCUACGGGAGGCAGCAGUGGAGAAUAUUGCACAAUGGGCGGACGCCUGAGGCAGCAACGUCGCGUGCGGGAUGACGGCCUUCGGGUUGUAAACCGCUUUCGCCGGUGACGAAGCGAGAGUGACGGUAAUGGGUAAAGAAGCACCGGCUAACUACGUG
RNAcentral lists this ribosomal RNA (468 nucleotides) under uncultured bacterium. RNAcentral's name for it is "partial 16S ribosomal RNA". It matches the Rfam family "Bacterial small subunit ribosomal RNA", at positions 28 to 507 of the family's 1533-position model. The record is from RNAcentral.